GUAGUAAAAGUAUGCCAUAAUGGAAACAUUUCCCCCCUGGGAACAAGGAACUCUAGAUCCACAAGAGAUGAAGGAUUUGGGGCAGGAAACACCAACCCCUCCCAUGGGUAGAAUGGGAAUGAUGACAAGCAGGCUUUCUCAUACUUCUAGCCCUAGGUUCCUAGACUCAUGUUUUCUACCUAUUAAAGGCCCAGCACCUUAAAAUCGUCACUGAUUUGGGGUAUAUGUCCUGUCCUGAAGGACACUAUGCCAUUCAAAGUAUCAUCUUCAAAUUCGCACUCUAUGUGCAUCUUCAAAAGAUAUUUUCACACUGCAUCAUGCUGGCAGCUUCCGAGUGAUGCAGUAUGUGAUGGGACCAGCGGAUUCCAUAGUCAGUGUCUACAUCUGUACCUCUUCACUGCUUUGUGGGUCCUUUCUGUUGAGGCAAUAUUUUGUGAAAACCGAUGUCAGUAGCUCAAACAAUCUCCAAGCCCUCAGAUAGUGGUGCUGGCCAAGCUCCUGUGGGCAGGAAGGGCAAAUAUGUGAUAAUCUAGGUAAAGAUGAAUUGCUGCCUUCUGGCAGAGUGAAAGGAGUUCAAUGUAAUCAACCCGCCACCAAGUAGCUGAUUGUAAUUGAUGGAUGGUGCCGUAACCAGAGUUUAACACUGGCCUCUGUUGCUGACAGGUUGAACAUUAGACAGAGGCAAAGUCUACGUGAGCCCUACCGGGUGAGAGUCCACACCAUUGGCCUUAUGUGUAGCCUCUAUUUCUGCUACCGUGGCUACUCCACUCACACGCUCAUUGUGCCAGGACUGAGGAGAGAGACUGUCUGCUUCGUGGUUCAGUGGCCCUUCUUUGGUGGAUGUUUUUUGGACCUGGAACAAGGAGCCAUAUGUCUUGUUACCUUGGGCCACUUCUUUUUUCACACAAUGUCAGUGACAAGAUCCACCACUGAAAACUGUUUAUCAUGAGGAUUUCCCUCACUGCUACCUUUCAAGAUCAUCCCUCAGUGGGAUCAGAAGCAGUUCAUUUUCAGCUUGCACACACUGAGUUGAACCAUCUUCAAACCAAACGCCGCCACUUUCCUCCUCUAUCAGCUACUCCUACAGGACUUCUUGCGUGACCAGAGUAUCUGAGGCUUGUCCAGCAGGCAAAGCUAUUUCAAACGUAUCCAUAAAGAACUAUAUUAGAAUGAUGACAUUUAAAUGGAAAGGAGGAGAUGGGAGAAGAUAUUGUGAAAAUUCUAUACGUUUGACAAUGGAUUGGAUGG
Molecule: long non-coding RNA, 1248 nt
Organism: Balaenoptera musculus (blue whale)
Lineage: Eukaryota; Metazoa; Chordata; Mammalia; Artiodactyla; Balaenopteridae
Exons: 3
Source: RefSeq, a predicted model, not a curated record